Leucoraja erinaceus (little skate) is the source of this 2633-nucleotide long non-coding RNA. RefSeq lists it as uncharacterized. The transcript has 3 exons. The record is from RefSeq and is a predicted model, not a curated record. NCBI's taxonomy places the organism in Eukaryota, Metazoa, Chordata, Chondrichthyes, Rajiformes, Rajidae.
GACUGAGAUCGGCACAUCCAAAGGGAUGAAGUUAAUGACAAGGAAGCAGCAUCUGUAGCUGGCACAGAUGGCAGUCAUUUUGUAAUUGCGAAUGCUAAAAAUAUGACGCCUUCAGAAUGUGAUAUCUGACAAGCAUUCUCACAGCAUGAAGAAAAUCAGGGUGCCAUCAGAAAUGUUGAAUGAGUGAAAGUGUACAUAUGGAAGUUGAUUUCCCUGUCAGUGGCAUUAACCCAGAAACUAUCAUAAUUCAUGUCCACGGACCUUGUUGCCAAGGAACUUUAAAUGAUAGAACCUUAAACACUCUUUCUGUAAGGAGCAAUUACAGAUUUGAAAGGUUACAGUUCCUGUGGCUUUCCCAUAGACAAUUACCAGGAUUUCCUGAAUAGCUGUGAGCUACAUUCAAAAGAAACAAGCGUACAAAUUGAAUGGAUUGUCCAGAAGUCAUUUUUUUCCUUCCUCAAAAUCUACGGACCUGCAUUUCCAAGCCUGGACAGGUACAAGGACGAGUUCUGGUCAGGAAAUACCGUGCAGUAUGUAUUUUAUCCAACGGAAUUCCGAUCUGGAAGCCAGCCGAGUUAUUAGGCUUAAUUCUCUAUUGGUUGGGCAUUUCUCCACAAGAAAGCUGCAGAAUACAACUGGGAGUUUUCCUGUUGUUUGAGUUCCAGUUCAUGGAUCCUCUGCAAUAUGUGCCACUGCUGCUGUUGGAUGCCUGCAUUCCUACCGCAGGUAUUCUAUAUCCUAGUAAUCCUACCGUGGUCAGGGAAGAAGAAUCCCAAUGGAUAUGUUUAAAGAUUAUGGAUAAAGUGCAAUCUCAACAUGAAAUAAAGUGCUGGAAAAUGUGAUUAGUAUAAAUAUGUACUUGAUGAUAUGAUGAUGCGUGGAUAUGGUGGGCUGAAUGGACUGUUUCUGUGCUUUAUGUCCCCAUGACAUUAACAUCGGGGAGUUUCCCAUCAAUCAGCCCAUAGCCGGCAAUGCCUUGGCAUUUCAAGUGCCUCAGCUAAAUAUUUAUUGAAUGUUGUAUUGAGCACCUACCUCAUUCAUCCCCUCAGGCAUUAGAUUCCAGGUUUUGCUAACGCUCAAUGUGGAAAAUACCGUCCUCAAAUCCUUUCUAAAUCUCCUUUUCCUUUCCUUAAACCUACACCUUCUGGUCAUAGACACUUCUGCAAUGGUGAAAGGUUUCUCAUUAUCUGCACCAUCUGUGUCCAUCAUUAUUUUGUACAUCUGAAUCAGGUCACUGGUCAGCUCUAUCUGUUCCAGAGAAAACAAGCCCAGCCUGCCAAAUUUCUCCUCUUAGCUGAAAUGCUCCAAACUGGGCAACAUCUUGGUAAACCUCCUCUGCACCUUUUAAAUUGCAAUCAUAUCCUGCAAACUCAACACCAAAAAUAUAUUUAUUUCACAUAUGUGUUGCAUUUUACCCACAAUGUUUAAUUAUAUCCAUUGGGAUCCUUCCUCCCGAGCCCCAGUAAACCUUCCAGAAGAUAGAAUACUUGCAGUAGGAAUGCAAGCAUCCAGCAGAAGUAUGUGCACAUACUUCAGAGGAACCAGGAAGAAAGGGAGUGUUUUCAUUCAUCUUUAGAGAAUAUUGUUUUUAUGCAAUGGCUAACAUAAAAAAAUACUGCUUGAAAAUAAUUAAAUAAAUGGUAUCCCUUCAAUACUGGUGGUGUACGCCUAAACUGAACUACAUUACAAACCACAUUAGGUCUAAAGAAGGACCUUGAUCUUAAAUGUCACCUAUUCCUUCUCCCCAGUGAUGUUGCCUGCCUACUGAGUUACUCCAGCAUUUUGUGUCUAUCUUCAGUGUAAACCAGCAUCUGCAGUCCCUUCCUAUACAUUAUGAACCUAUUCUUAUGGUCAGAACAGCUGGAAUUCAUGACAGGGUUUCACAUUUCCUUUGUACCCUUUCAUGCACAUCUCGUAUGCGUAUGUGACGAAUAAACUUGACGACUUGAUCUAUGGGCAUCACUUGACUUAACUUAAUACUUGGUGGAAAACUCAGUACAUCAGAAGACUCAUACCAAAAUUACCUUGAAUGAAGGGGCAACAAUUUUUGGGGCCUGAAUGUACCAAGCUAAAUAAUAGUUUGGCCAGUCACAGUGAUAACACAGUGCCACAAAUACUUUGCCUGAUAUUGGCUAAGAGGACACAUGCUAUCACUCUGAUACAGGGACCGGAUUCAUUUUUGAAACACGCGGAUGCCAUUGCCAUGAAGUAAUUCCCACGACACAUGUCAAUGAGGAAUGCUGUUACCUCAGAGGUAGGAGAUAAGCUUAAAAGUCUUUCACCAUUGCCAUAUCCUCUUGAUUGCUUAAUCUGUAGUGUUGCUAGAAUAGGACAUGAUGAAAACUGGGCCCUCCACUUCUUUGCUCUCAAGAAAAUAAUUUCUCCUUCAUGGUGGAUAUUUUAGCACAGCUUUAUUAAAUUUGAGCCAAACAUAACACAAAAGACAAUAUUACAUUUUGUGCUGUGCAGAUAGUUCCGCCCCUUGAUCUUUAAACUUUUUUUUUGCUAGCGGCCGUAAAUCCAACUUGAAUGAAAGCAUCUGGUGAUGUCUCAUUUUAUCUCUUGCUGUAAUAAAGCCAACAGCAGAAUUUGUGAUCUGUUUAUACCCAGAACAGCACUCAGCUCUUAAAGGA